UUAAACUUAAAUCCUGCCUGACUGAACUCCUUUCAUCAAAGGGCCCUGAUGUGUAAUGGUUGCAAAAAGCAACCUCUGUGGCAGUAUAUGCCACCUAGUGCUCACACCUGUUUCCCCGCGGAACCUGGAGACAGCC
This 136-nucleotide small nucleolar RNA is filed under the name Sciurus vulgaris (Eurasian red squirrel). Its description in RNAcentral is "Small nucleolar RNA SNORA70 (ENSSVLG00005010324.1)". It matches the Rfam family "Small nucleolar RNA SNORA70". Rfam says of the family: snoRNA U70 seems to be exclusive to mammals and is a member of the H/ACA class of snoRNA which contain H (ANANNA) and ACA box motifs. H/ACA box snoRNAs are involved in the conversion of uridines to pseudouridines (5-ribosyluracil) a constituent of structural RNAs (transfer, ribosomal, small nuclear, and small nucleolar). Lineage: Eukaryota; Metazoa; Chordata; Mammalia; Rodentia; Sciuridae. The record is from Rfam by way of RNAcentral.